RNAcentral lists this transfer RNA (64 nucleotides) under Physella acuta. Its description in RNAcentral is "tRNA-Ser". Lineage: Eukaryota; Metazoa; Mollusca; Gastropoda; Physidae. The record is from RNAcentral.
UUUUGUUAAGUGAACGAUUUUGAAAAUCGAUCCAGAGGUAAAUCAAGAGAAUCUCAACAAAAAA